Molecule: unclassified non-coding RNA, 348 nt
Filed under: soil metagenome
Description: partial contains 5.8S ribosomal RNA, internal transcribed spacer 2, and large subunit ribosomal RNA
Rfam family: 5.8S ribosomal RNA (bases 1-120)
Source: RNAcentral
GAUGAAGAACGUAGCGAAAUGCGAUAAGUAAUGUGAAUUGCAGAAUUCAGUGAAUCAUCGAGUCUUUGAACGCACAUUGCGCCCCCUGGUAUUCCGGGGGGCAUGCCUGUCCGAGCGUCAUUGCCGCCCUCAAGCACGGCUUGUGUGUUGGGCCCCCGCCCCCCGGCUUCGGGGGGCGGGCCCGAAAGGCAGCGGCGGCACCGCGUCCGGUCCUCGAGCGUAUGGGGCUUCGUCACCCGCUCUGUAGGCCCGGCCGGCGCCAGCCGGCGACCCCAAUCAAUCUUUCCAGGUUGACCUCGGAUCAGGUAGGGAUACCCGCUGAACUUAAGCAUAUCAAUAAGCGGAGGA